RNAcentral lists this non-coding RNA (30 nucleotides) under Mus musculus (house mouse). The record is from RNAcentral. Lineage: Eukaryota; Metazoa; Chordata; Mammalia; Rodentia; Muridae.
AGUAGUAGUGUGCUUGCUUAACUUGCCUGA